UUUAUACACUUGCAGUGGAUGCAGCCCAUAAGCAUGUUCAAGUUUAUACAAUCAAAUCAGCUGAUUAGAUGCAAGCAAACAUUUAUCUGGGUGAAUCGAACAGAAAUCAAUUGAGCAGCAACACGCAUUCAGAAUCCGAGGAUGAGCAAACAAGGGAAGUGGACGGCAUUCCGAUCAAAA
Zingiber officinale is the source of this 180-nucleotide long non-coding RNA. RefSeq lists it as uncharacterized. The transcript has 2 exons. NCBI's taxonomy places the organism in Eukaryota, Viridiplantae, Streptophyta, Magnoliopsida, Zingiberales, Zingiberaceae. The record is from RefSeq and is a predicted model, not a curated record.